This 519-nucleotide RNase P RNA is filed under the name Desulfovibrionales bacterium. RNAcentral describes it as "RNase P RNA component class A". It matches the Rfam family "Bacterial RNase P class A". From Rfam's summary of the family: Ribonuclease P (RNase P) is a ubiquitous endoribonuclease, found in archaea, bacteria and eukarya as well as chloroplasts and mitochondria. Its best characterised activity is the generation of mature 5'-ends of tRNAs by cleaving the 5'-leader elements of precursor-tRNAs. Lineage: Bacteria; Pseudomonadati; Thermodesulfobacteriota; Desulfovibrionia; Desulfovibrionales. The record is from RNAcentral.
GGAGUCGGGCAGGCUGUCGCCCCGCACUCACUUUGCCCUGGAAAUUGAUCUUCUUGAGACCUUUUUCCCAGGCAAAGUGAGUGCGGGGAGGAAAGUCCGGGCUCCAUAGGGCAGGACGCUGGAUAACGUCCAGUGGGGGUGACCCCGGGAAAGUGCCACAGAAAGCAGACCGCCCCGCACUCAGUUUGCCCAGGGAAAGUGUCUCGAAAUGACAUUUCACCAGGGCAAACUGAGUGCGGGGUAAGGGUGAAACGGUGGGGUAAGAGCCCACCAGUUGCCGUGGUGACGCGGCAAGCUCGGCAAACCCCGUUCGGAGCAAGACCAAAUAGGAGGACGCCUGAGGCCGGCCCGGCCAAGGUCCUCGGGUAGGUUGCUGGAGGCCGGAAGCAAUUCCGGUCCAAGAGGAAUGACAGCCGCCCCGCGCUUUCUUUGCCGUGAACAUCUAUCAAUGAACAAGAGGAUGGCAGUGGCAAAGUGAGCGCGGGGAGACAGAACCCGGCUUAUCGCCCGACUCCCCUU